This is a non-coding RNA of Microcoleus sp., 37 nucleotides long. The record is from Rfam. Lineage: Bacteria; Bacillati; Cyanobacteriota; Cyanophyceae; Oscillatoriales; Microcoleaceae.
GUCUGAAUUCCAUAUAAUCCCUAUCAGGGAUUGAAAC